This 437-nucleotide ribosomal RNA is filed under the name uncultured Pseudomonas sp. RNAcentral describes it as "bacterial SSU rRNA". It matches the Rfam family "Bacterial small subunit ribosomal RNA", at positions 952 to 1382 of the family's 1533-position model. Lineage: Bacteria; Pseudomonadati; Pseudomonadota; Gammaproteobacteria; Pseudomonadales; Pseudomonadaceae. The record is from RNAcentral.
CGAAGCAACGCGAAGAACCUUACCAGGCCUUGACAUGCAGAGAACUUCCAGACGAUGGAUUGGUGCCGUUCGGGAACUCUGACACAGGUGCUGCAGUGGCUGUCGUCAGCUCGUGUCGUGAGAUGGUUAGGGUUAACGUCCCGUAACGAGCGCCAACCCUUGUCCUUAGUUACCAGCACGUUAUGGUGGGCACUCUAAGGAGACUGCCGGUGACAAACCGGAGGAAGGUGGGGAUGACGUCAAGUCAUCAUGGCCCUUACGGCCUGGGCUACACACGUGCUACAAUGGUCGGUACAAAGGGUUGCCAAGCCGCGAGGUGGAGCUAAUCCCAUAAAACCGAUCGUAGUCCGGAUCGCAGUCUGCAACUCGACUGCGUGAAGUCGGAAUCGCUAGUAAUCGUGAAUCAGAAUGUCACGGUGAAUACGUUCCCGGGCCUU